RNAcentral lists this ribosomal RNA (253 nucleotides) under uncultured bacterium. RNAcentral describes it as "partial 16S ribosomal RNA". It matches the Rfam family "Bacterial small subunit ribosomal RNA", at positions 524 to 776 of the family's 1533-position model. The record is from RNAcentral.
UACGGAGGGGGCUAGCGUUGUUCGGAAUUACUGGGCGUAAAGCGCACGUAGGCGGCUUUGUAAGUUAGAGGUGAAAGCCCAGGGCUCAACCCUGGAAUUGCCUUUAAGACUGCAUCGCUUGAACAUCGGAGAGGUAAGUGGAAUUCCGAGUGUAGAGGUGAAAUUCGUAGAUAUUCGGAAGAACACCAGUGGCGAAGGCGACUCACUGGACAUGUAUUGACGCUGAGGUGCGAAAGCGUGGGGAGCAAACAGG